CCUACCGGGGGGCAGCAGUGAGGAAUAUUGGUCAAUGGCCGGAAGGCUGAACCAGCCAAGCCGCGUGAAGGACGAAGGUGCCAAGCAUUGUAAACUUCUUUUGUCAAGGGACAAAAUCAGGCUCGAGAGCCUGACCGAGGGUACUUGAAGAAAAAGCAUCGGCUAACUCCGUGCCAGCAGCCGCGGUAAUACGGAGGAUGCGAGCGUUAUCCGGAUUUAUUGGGUUUAAAGGGUGCGUAGGCGGGCUGUUAAGUAAGCGGUAAAAGCCCGGGGCUCAACCCCGGCGAGCCGUUGAAACGGGCUGUAUGGAGAUGUGGAGAGUUAUGCGGAAUGCGCAGUGUAGCGGGGAAAGGCUUAGAUAUUGCGCAGAACUCCGAUUGCGAGGGAGGCAUACCGGCGGCGAUCUGACGCGGAGGCACGAAAGCGUGGGUAUCGAACAGGAUUAGAUACCCGAGUAGUC
Molecule: ribosomal RNA, 460 nt
Filed under: uncultured bacterium
Lineage: Bacteria
Description: partial 16S ribosomal RNA
Rfam family: Bacterial small subunit ribosomal RNA
Source: RNAcentral